RNAcentral lists this transfer RNA (70 nucleotides) under Kali indica. Its description in RNAcentral is "tRNA-Trp". It matches the Rfam family "tRNA". Rfam says of the family: Transfer RNA (tRNA) molecules are approximately 80 nucleotides in length. RNAcentral also lists the same sequence under 2 other names. The record is from RNAcentral. Lineage: Eukaryota; Metazoa; Chordata; Actinopteri; Scombriformes; Chiasmodontidae.
AGAAGCUUAGGAUAGUAAAGUCCAAGGGCCUUCAAAGCCCUAGGCGGGGGUGAGAAUCCUCCAGCUCCUG